RNAcentral lists this ribosomal RNA (466 nucleotides) under uncultured bacterium. RNAcentral describes it as "partial 16S ribosomal RNA". It matches the Rfam family "Bacterial small subunit ribosomal RNA", at positions 339 to 795 of the family's 1533-position model. The record is from RNAcentral.
CUACGGGGCGCUGCAGUCGAGAAUAGUCUACAAUGGACGAAAGUCUGAUAGUGCGACGCCGCGUGGAUGAAGAAGCAUUUCGGUGUGUAAAGUCCUUUUCUGUGUGAGCAAUGUUUUCCAGGUUAAUAGCUUGGAGAAAGCGAUAUUAACACAGGAAUAAGCUCCGGCUAACUCCGUGCCAGCAGCCGCGGUAACACGGGGGGAGCAAGCGUUGUCCGGAAUUACUAGGCGCAAAGGGUAAGUAGGCGGAAUUGUAAGUCAGAUGUUAAAGGCACCGGCUCAACCGGUGUAUGGCAUUUGAUACUGUAAUUCUAGAGUAAGGUGGGGGAAGACGGAAUUCCUGGUGUAGCGGUGGAAUGCGCAGAUAUCAGGAGGAACACCAGAGGCGCAGGCGGUCUUCUAUACCAUUACUGACGCUCAAUUACGAAGGUGUGGGUAUCAAACAGGAUUAGAUACCCUAGUAGUC